Molecule: ribosomal RNA, 433 nt
Filed under: uncultured bacterium
Lineage: Bacteria
Description: partial 16S ribosomal RNA
Rfam family: Bacterial small subunit ribosomal RNA
Source: RNAcentral
AACGAACGCUGGCGGCAUGCCUAACACAUGCAAGUCGAACGAAACCUUCGGGCUUAGUGGCGCACGGGGGCGUGACGCGGGGGAACCUGCCCUUAGGUUCGGAAUAACUCCCCGAAAGGGGUGCUAAUACCGGAGAAUGUAUUCGGACCAAAGAGUUAUCGCCUUUGGAGGGGCCUGGGUUGGCUUAGCUGGUUGGUAGGGUAAAAGCCUAUCAAGGCGACGUUGCAUAGCUGGUUUGAGAGGCUGGUCAGCCACACUGGGGCUGAGACACAGCCCAGAAUCCUAGGGGAGGGAGGAGUGGGUGAUAUAGGACAAGGGGCGAUGGCCUGAUACAGCAAUGCCGGGUGAGUGAUGAAGGCCUUAGGGUAGUGAAGUUCUUUUACACGGGGUGAUAAUGACGGUACCGGGAGAAUAAGCUCCGGCUAACUCCGUG